UUGAGAUGUCUAAGGUUUGUUCACAACCUGCUACUAAAUUUGGCUGGACUAAUACUGUUUUGUGGUCCUGAUAUUAGUUUUAUAAAUACAACUGAACCAGUUCCACUGGUAGGCAAAACCAACUUCUUUGGAAGGAGACCCAGCAGCCAACAAAUCUUGGAGACCUGGUGAUAGCAGAUUGUUUCCCGAGAGCUGUGUGUCUUAUUGUAGUGAUAAUGAUUUCUCCACAGAGGCUUCCAAAAAGAACUGCUUUUAGAAGUAUACACUGAAGAGCAGAAUGAUUCUGUGAUCCGAAAGAGGCUUUGGUGAGAUUGGAUUCCCUCAGCGCUUCAACAUCUUUAUCUCUGACCUUGCAGAUAUAGACAUGUGUGGGCAAUUGACUUAUUUCUUGCCAUAGACCUCAUACUCAAGAGUUCUGAAGAGUCUUACAGUGGAAUGAAAGAGGAAUAAAUGUCUGUUAUUCAGCAAGAUAUCAGUCAUGAAAGCAUGGCCCCACUGCCACAUGGUAUGUAAGUACCUUAGCUUUUCUUUUUGAGGUGAAAAGCUCUCAUGAUUUAAUACAGGCAUUUGUUGCACACUUCUGGGAUGUGCCGGUAUUGCUAAAGCAAAAGUUGCCUGGCUUUUUCCCUUUCCUGCAGAUUCCUCCUUAAUCCAGACCUUUCUUUAACCACUUGCCCCAUUUCUACCUUUAAACCAGUGGACGUAUUAAAUACAGAAGA
This is a long non-coding RNA of Coturnix japonica (Japanese quail), 719 nucleotides long. RefSeq lists it as uncharacterized. The record is from RefSeq and is a predicted model, not a curated record. Lineage: Eukaryota; Metazoa; Chordata; Aves; Galliformes; Phasianidae.